Molecule: unclassified non-coding RNA, 1640 nt
Filed under: Homo sapiens (human)
Lineage: Eukaryota; Metazoa; Chordata; Mammalia; Primates; Hominidae
Description: transcription elongation factor A like 2 (ENSG00000291823.1)
Source: RNAcentral
GAGCUGCCCAGGCGGCGGGGGAGCAGCGAGCGGGCUUCAGCGAGCCGCAGGAGGCACAGGCCUGUCCUGGGUCCCCGCAGGUCUGCGCGUCUGUUGUUCCCAGCGCUCUGAGAGGCCUGAAAAGGAAGAGCAACCUGUCCAGAAUCCCCGCAGAUGCCAUGAUAACUGUGGCAGCUGAACAGUUCCACCGCUAAAGAAGACUCUUGGGACCCCAAAUGGUCAUGAUUGCAAAUCUACAGUUUGUUGGAGAAAAAAAUGGAUGCAACAUAGCAACAGCAUUAAGGAGAAACAUCAUAGUCAAAAGCUGUCUAAUAGUAAGGGAUCUGGAGUGGCCAGUUCCCCAGGUGAUGACUAUGCAGCUUUUUCAUGGACCACAACAUGUUCAUUACAAAGGAUUUAAAACUCAAAUGUAUUGAUGGGUCUGCCGAACUGCUAAAGUGUUACCUGACAAGUUUCCUGAGAGUGAACUCAACAGAGAAAAGAGCAUCUGCAGACAAGAUAUUAACCCAUGAGAACAGCACAACCACUAUCAUGCAGGUAUUUUUUCCUGGCCUAGCCUGCAAUAUCUCAGUUUUGUGAGGACAAUAUUUAUGUAUGCAAAACAAAGAAAUAAGGAAUACACAUAAAUGAUUAUUUUGGCAAAAAGAAUUUGGAAGAUAUUAAUGAGAGGCCCAAGCAGCACCAAGGUGAUAUCCAUGUGUACCUGGUUACUGUAACUAUAAAGUGGAGAGAGGGCUUUAUCCACUUCUACGGGGGUCAUGGGUUGGUGGACAUUGCUCACCAGUGACUCCAGAGAAAAUGACAGGGCUUUGACACCAUAAAUCCUCUAUCAGUAAAGGGUGCAGGACCCGGGAAAAAGGGCAUAGUGCCCAGCAGACAUGGAAGUAUCCAGGAGAGAGUGGCAUCUACUUCUUAGCUGCCUGGAAAUAUUCCUAGACAUGGUGAGAACUCCCUCAGUCCUCCUCCAAUGUGUCUGAUUCCAUCGACUUUCCUGCCACUGUAUGGGAAUAGUUUAGGAGCCAUUCCUCCCCUGAGUGCCUAGUGGGGACCAGGUCACAACACAGCUCACAUACUUAGUAUCUCAUCUGAUCCACCAGGCAGUCCUGUGAGGCAAGUAUUACCCUUAUUUUACAAAUGACAAGAUUGACUCUUACAGCAAUAGAUCUGUUAGAAUUUCCAGGUUGAUUCCUUUAGCUUUUAGUCCCAGAGAUAAUAUGAAUUUUACCUGUCAUCUUAUGUUCUGAUAACAGGAAUUCUGAGUGUCUUUAUUGCCUUUGUAAGCGCACCAAACAGUUCAAUUUCUUAGUAUGUAUUGUAUUCAGCUUUUAUUUAUUUUUCAGUAUGACAAAUAUUUAGUAUUAUAUUUUAGUAUGGGUCUGAGUAUGCAGACCCAGCACUCAUGUUAGAAGACCCAGGAACAUGAUAGAGGACCUAGCAACAGUGCCCACUGACCUGGCUCGACCUAGGGAAGACAUAGGGAUGUGCACAGCAGCAGAGGAAUAUCAUGGAGGUACAUACAAGAGGUGGUAGGACUCAUUUUUGAAUACAGGUGAGACCUAUUCUUGGCUACCCUUCAGGAAUAACCAUUGCCUGCUUUUUAGUGUACAUGCUUUCAGGGUUUUCUUUGCGCAGAAAUGCAU